RNAcentral lists this ribosomal RNA (508 nucleotides) under uncultured Glomus. Its description in RNAcentral is "SSU rRNA". It matches the Rfam family "Eukaryotic small subunit ribosomal RNA", at positions 569 to 1078 of the family's 1831-position model. The record is from RNAcentral. Lineage: Eukaryota; Fungi; Glomeromycota; Glomeromycetes; Glomerales; Glomeraceae.
AGCAGCCGCGGUAAUUCCAGCUCCAAUAGCGUAUAUUAAAGUUGUUGCAGUUAAAAAGCUCGUAGUUGAAUUUCGGAAUCAAUGGAUCGGUCAUGCCACUCGGUGUGUACUGGUUUGAUUGGUUCUCACCUUCUAAGGAACCGUGAUGUCAUUAAUUUGGUGUCGCGGGGAAUUAGGACUGUUACCUUGAAAAAUUAGAGUGUUUAAAGCAAGCUCACGCUUGAAUACAUUAGCAUGGAAUAAUGAAAUAGGACAUUGUAUUCUAUUUUGUUGGUUUCUAGGAUCGAUGUAAUGAUUAAUAGGGAUAGUUGGGGGCAUUAGUAUUCAAUUGUCAGAGGUGAAAUUCUUGGAUUUAUUGAAGACUAACUACUGCGAAAGCAUUUGCCAAGGAUGUUUUCAUUAAUCAAGAACGAAAGUUAGGGGAUCGAAGACGAUCAGAUACCGUCGUAGUCUUAACCAUAAACUAUGCCGACUAGGGAUCGGAUGAUGUUAAUUUUUUAAUGACUCU